Molecule: non-coding RNA, 2358 nt
Organism: Pantherophis guttatus
Lineage: Eukaryota; Metazoa; Chordata; Lepidosauria; Squamata; Colubridae
Source: RefSeq, a predicted model, not a curated record
GGAAGAAGGGCAGAACUCUGGAAGAGUGAGAUGGCCAGAAUCAGACAGCUAGGAAGGCAGCAACAGCAGGGCCAUUGCAGGGACCAGAGCCCACAGAGACAACAUUCUUCCUGGAUGGAUGGAGUUCUAGUUGAACAACCAUGGAGAAAUGAUAUACUGUUUUUGACGAUCAACUAUGAAUCCAUUUUUUCCUUCAAAAGGCCAAACUUUUUGGUUGAUUAUUUUUCAUGAAGAAGUACAUACUAAGGUUGAACUCAGUUGAAGCUGAUCAGGGCUUCAGCAAAAGAAGUGGAAAACUGAAGACUGCAGCAUAAUGAAGAACCAGAGAUAGACCAGCUUUUUGUAAUUCCUCUUUGGACAAGAAGAGAACUUGAGAUUGCCCGCAAGUGCUCCAGGCAAUUGCUCAUCACAGGGAGACCACAAGACAGCAUUUUCUAGAAGGUUGAAGGGAAGGGGAGGAAAGGGGAAACAGCAUUUUGCAGAAGGAGACAAGGGAAUAGCCAUCUUGCUAAAAUCGUGGUUGGCACUCAGGACACUGGGCUUGCAUAUUUCCUUUUGUAAUCACUUUUGGAAAUUGUGUAACAGCUUUUCAACUGUUAGCAAUCUUUGGAUCAACAACUUUUACCACACUAGGUGAAUUUCCUUCAAACCUUAGCGAAAGAAGUUUUAAGUAUAAGUUUAAGGAUUUUUUUUUCUGGAAUAAACAAAAAAGGGAUGAUUAGAUUUGUGAUUCAAGAAAGUUGUCAGCACUUGACAAAAGUUACAAAUGAUUUUAAUUCCAUAUAAUUUGAAAUUAUAAUUUUGGAAUUAUAAAAAUUCUUCCAGUGGGAAAAUAAAUUUCUAUUGAAUUCUUAAGAAAAAAAAAAAGAAGGAUGGAAUUUUGAAGGUUGAAUACCAGAGGGAACUAGAAGGAACUGAAGAUUACCAUUAAAUGAGAAAACUUAAUUUGAUUUACCAAUACAUAAUGGAACAAAAUAUUUUAACAUUUGACAUUUUGAAGGAUAUUUUAAACAAUGGAUGCAGAAGUUAAUUUUAAGAGUAUCUCUAUAAAUAGACUGGGUUUAAAAAUUGUUAUGGAAGAGGAACAAAUUUUAAUGGACAAGAAUGAGACUGAUAUGAAAAUGAAUUUUAAAAUGACAAGCUACAAGAAGGUCAUGGAAAAAGAUGUUACACUGGACAUACAAAAGAAGCCGGCUGUUGUCUUAAUAAUUAAAAGGGAUAUACAAAUAACAAACCAAGAGAAUGACCUGGAUAAUCUUCCUGUAUUGGAUUUACAAAAGAGGCUUGUUAAAGCUUUGAAGAUUUUUGUGAGGAUAAAUAAAAUAAUGAAAAGAAAUCAAGCUUUAGGACAUUAUUUGAAGGGACUAAAAAUCAAGAUUGUUAAAAAUAAAAGAAAGGAAUCUAAAGUUGAUUUAUUUGAUUAAGGUUAAAAUAAUUAUAUUGUUAUUUCUGUAAAAAAAUAUUUAAUGGACUUUUGCUGAGCAGAAGGUUUUUAUGGAUGUGUUUAAGAAUAAGAUAUAGGUCUUAUAUUAUAGGAUAUGGGAAGACAAAGAUUCAUUGUAUUUUAAGAGAAGAUAAGUUAUUAAAAUUGUUUCUAUUUGUGAUGGAGGAAGUCAUUUCCUUAUAUAUUUAAUUUCUUUUUCUAUAUUAUGUGCUUCUUUCUUCCUUCUCUAUUUUUCUUUUCUGCACUUUCUAUUUUUUCUUUUUCAAUUUGUCUGUAUCUUUUUAAUUGUGAUUUUUUAAAUAAAAAUAUUAUAAAAAAGAAAGAAAAGUGAGUAUUGAUACUAAAAUUACAGUGAUACUGCCAAAAGUCAGCAAUAAAAAUAUAUAAAAAGUUUGGGAUAGGAAACCAGAGCCAAGUCAAUCCUUUAGUGGUUGUUAUAUUUUGAGAGAAGAUGAUAAAUUACUAAAAUGGUUUAUACAUGUUGUGAAGAAGAGGGAAGUCAUUUCUUUACAUAUUUCUUUCCUUUUUAGCUAUGGAUGUGAGUCACUGAGGCUCAGGUGUCAGAAUGCCCACUAGAUAGGGAUUAUCCUGUUGAUGGUAACCCACACAAUAUGAAACAAACCGAACAGUACAAGGACCAAUGUUUUAGAGAUGCCUCCAAUGGGCAUGAUCUCAAUUGGGCAUGGGGUUUCAUUUUAAUUGUCACAAUGCACUUGCUAUUCCAAUCUUUUCUGCAAAGUCAUCAAGAUGUAAUAUUCAUACGGGUUCUGUUACAGGAACUCUCAGAACGUUUAUCUAACUUUUAAAUCAACCUAUAUUAUGGUCUUAUCUCAGACCUCCUCUGCUUCUAAUUUCUUGGACUGUAACUCCCAAUACUCUCACUCACAUUGUGAGAGAAUUCUGGAAAUUUUUAU